Molecule: ribosomal RNA, 229 nt
Filed under: uncultured bacterium
Lineage: Bacteria
Description: partial 16S ribosomal RNA
Rfam family: Bacterial small subunit ribosomal RNA
Source: RNAcentral
UCCGUAGGCGGGAUAAUAAGUCAGUGGUGAAAGCCCACAGCUCAACUGUGGAAUUGCCAUUGAAACUAUUGUUCUUGAAUCUAGUUGAAGUGAACGGAAUGUAACAUGUAGCGGUGAAAUGCAUAGAUAUGUUACAGAACACCAAUUGCGAAGGCAGUUCACUAAACUAGUAUUGACGCUAAGGGACGAAAGCGUGGGUAGCGAACAGGAUUAGAUACCCUGGUAGUCC